CUCCUACGGGAGGCAGCAGUGAGGAAUAUUGGUCAAUGGGCGAGAGCCUGAACCAGCCAAGUAGCGUGAAGGAUGACUGCCCUAUGGGUUGUAAACUUCUUUUAUAAAGGAAUAAAGUCGGGUAUGUAUACCCGUUUGCAUGUACUUUAUGAAUAAGGAUCGGCUAACUCCGUGCCAGCAGCCGCGGUAAUACGGAGGAUCCGAGCGUUAUCCGGAUUUAUUGGGUUUAAAGGGAGCGUAGAUGGAUGUUUAAGUCAGUUGUGAAAGUUUGCGGCUCAACCGUAAAAUUGCAGUUGAUACUGGAUAUCUUGAGUGCAGUUGAGGCAGGCGGAAUUCGUGGUGUAGCGGUGAAAUGCUUAGAUAUCACGAAGAACUCCGAUUGCGAAGGCAGCCUGCUAAGCUGCAACUGACAUUGAGGCUCGAAAGUGUGGGUAUCAAACAGGAUUAGAUACCCUGGUAGUCCACACGGUAAACGAUGAAUACUCGCUGUUUGCGAUAUACAGCAAGCGGCCAAGCGAAAGCGUUAAGUAUUCCACCUGGGGAGUACGCCGGCAACGGUGAAACUCAAAGGAAUUGACGGGGGCCCGCACAAGCGGAGGAACAUGUGGUUUAAUUCGAUGAUACGCGAGGAACCUUACCCGGGCUUAAAUUGCAGAUGAAUUACGGUGAAAGCCGUAAGCCGCAAGGCAUCUGUGAAGGUGCUGCAUGGUUGUCGUCAGCUCGUGCCGUGAGGUGUCGGCUUAAGUGCCAUAACGAGCGCAACCCUUGUUGUCAGUUACUAACAGGUUUUGCUGAGGACUCUGACAAGACUGCCAUCGUAAGAUGUGAGGAAGGUGGGGAUGACGUCAAAUCAGCACGGCCCUUACGUCCGGGGCUACACACGUGUUACAAUGGGGGGUACAGAGGGCCGCUACCACGCGAGUGGAUGCCAAUCCCCAAAACCUCUCUCAGUUCGGACUGGAGUCUGCAACCCGACUCCACGAAGCUGGAUUCGCUAGUAAUCGCGCAUCAGCCACGGCGCGGUGAAUACGUUCCCGGGCCUUGUACACACCGC
RNAcentral lists this ribosomal RNA (1054 nucleotides) under uncultured bacterium. RNAcentral describes it as "bacterial SSU rRNA". It matches the Rfam family "Bacterial small subunit ribosomal RNA", at positions 336 to 1393 of the family's 1533-position model. The record is from RNAcentral.